CACAAGCUGUUAAAUGUUACAUUCAUACAUAUUAUAUGAUAUUAUUGAUAUUAGUCUUUUAUUUUAUAAAUAAAAAUGCAAUUUCAAUUCCCAAUCACUUGUAGCCCUACUGAGAUAUGACUACUGGCAAUGCGAGACAUGAGAGUUUGUAGAGAUCAGUGUUGUGUUUUGAAUUUUGUUUGUACACGAGAGAGCACUAAGUUUAGCUGUCGGAGAGCAGUGGGCAAACAACAAACGAUAAAGGACAUUCCUACUUGGUCUUGUAAGUAGCCUAUCUUUGUUUUUGUUUUUAUGUGUUCAUUAUUUAUCUAUAUCAUUUGUUAUCAUGUUUAGGAACCGUGACAUUUUAGUGAAGGGAGCAGAUUGUAGUUGAUAGUGAUCCGUGACUAACUUAGGCCCACGGUUCAGCAUGCAUGUGUUCAGAGGAUUAAUUGCAAAAUUUAGUAAAAGUUUUAUUAUUUGUACUGUUUACAAACUCAAGCUAUUCUAAAACAGUGCAAGAAGAGGCGAAAGAGCAAACAGCAGAACAAACACAGCUUUGACAAAGAUUAAUCCAUAUUAAUUUAUACAGUGGACACAGAAGAAUUGGAGAAACUGAGCAGGAGUUUCAAAUUCUGGAAACUGAGAAGAUGGUGAAUAAGGCAGCAAUGGUGUCAAAGUUGUGCAGAAUUGAAGGAAGAAACUUCAAAGACAGUGCCAGAAGGAUGCUGGACAGAUGCUGUGAUGACCAACUUCCCGGCAGCAGAGUUGGACUUAAGGAAUGCAGCUGGGAAGCAUUUUAAACAAGAAAUAAAACCAAUAACUAAUAAUUUCCUUUAAGUUCACUGUUGGCUGUUUUAUUUGUUAAAAUAAGUAAACCAUGUUUUAAGUUUCAUUCAUUUAUCCAUAAUGUUAAGUGUGAUAACAUGCUCUUGAUUUGUAUUAGAUUUUUUUUUUCUUUUAAAUAUCUUAUUUAAAAUGUAUUUAUUUUUUAUUUUUUGAUAUUUUUAUUAUCUUAAGUUGUUAAAAAUUCCUUUUUUUAAAUCAUAUUUAUA
Cyprinus carpio (common carp) is the source of this 1034-nucleotide long non-coding RNA. RefSeq lists it as uncharacterized. The transcript has 3 exons. The record is from RefSeq and is a predicted model, not a curated record. NCBI's taxonomy places the organism in Eukaryota, Metazoa, Chordata, Actinopteri, Cypriniformes, Cyprinidae.